This is a long non-coding RNA of Triticum aestivum (bread wheat), 1508 nucleotides long. RefSeq lists it as uncharacterized. The record is from RefSeq and is a predicted model, not a curated record. Lineage: Eukaryota; Viridiplantae; Streptophyta; Magnoliopsida; Poales; Poaceae. The transcript has 3 exons.
CCUCUUCCUCCCGCUCGCCUCUCUCUCUCUCCCUCCAAACCCUAGCCUCACUCCCGCCUCCCUGCCCUGCUGCCGUCCAAAUCCAACCCCACGCCGCCGCCAUCUCCUUCGCCUACCAGGCCGCCGCCGCCCCGCCGUCCACCCCGGCGCGGCCACCGUCGACGGCGAGGAGGAGGAGCACGGCGGGAAGGAGGAGGACAGCCCGGGAAGGAAGGACGGCAUCAACUUCCCACGCCGCCGCUGCCGCCUCCGCUCGCCCUCGCGUUGUCGCCUCCGCUCGCCGUCGUCGCGUCGUCGCCUCCUCCCCACCCUCUCGAUGCUCCACAACAACCCCAGGCGAGCGCGAGCAGCCAGGGAGGAAUGGCCACGCCCCUCUUCCUCAGCAGCGGCGGCGACUUGAGUUUGCAAGGGCUGGAUCCGUGCACGACAGGGGUUGGGGAGGCAAAUACGGAGGCGAGCGACGAGGCGGGGUUCGCCGAUGACAACAAGGCUGGGUAGGCACGUUCUGCCUCGCGGCGCUCCGCCCCGCCCCACCCACCUCCUGCCACACCCCGCACGCCGCCGGCCGCCUCCUGCGUCUCACCUCCUGCCCCGCCCGCCCCGCACCGCCUCACCGCGCGCCGCCGGCCGGCCGGCUCCUGCCUCGAUAUGGGGAAAAAAAGGUUGCCCGCAUCCUCCCACCCGCACGCCUGCGCUCGCCUCGCUUGGCACCGGCGGCAGGCCACCCCGCCGCCCGACUCGCCUCGCGUGCACCAGAGGCGGCCAGUGGCAGGUCGAUCUGCCCUCCCCCUCCCCCGCUAUCUACCACCACCAUCCUUGCCACUCCCUACCUUACCUCAGCCCGAUCUAGAUGCCUAACCCCUCCCUCCCCUCUCUGAGCACAUCCUGCUCCGUCAGCGGCUCCUUCUGUCCGGAUCAAGGCGCCAAGGCCCAUGCUCCCCUCAUCUGGUCGGACACAACAGAGCACAUAUCUUCCUUGCCUUUCUGCUACAUGUACGAACUGAAGCUGAUUGUGUACACUCUGAUUGCUUUUUUUUAAAGAAAACACUCUGGUUGCAGGUAGAAUCAGAAAUCAAAGUCUACAGAGAUGCAUACGUCAUGGGUGAAUGCAUGAUGUGAUAGAAUCCAGAGGACCUUCAGACGUGAUUCUCUGCUGGGGUGAAGGGUGUGAAGUGUUUUGCCGAGAUGCAGAUUCAGAGCUGGCGCUGGUUCAGGCUGAUGUGCGCUUUGACAAACGAAGGAGCAGACAUCCACUGAGAAGAAAUUCAUCCGAGCUCUCAAGUUGAAGUCAAACUGGCCAGCUACGUUUCAAAGGUGCGUGGAGAUGUAGCUAGGUCCCUGAUGUACAUGGCUGUGAGCUAUGGAUCUGGACAGAAAGAUGCAGCUCCACAUUUGGAACUUUCUGAUUCGCCAAGUAUUCGUAAGUAGUUCAUACAUCUGGUCUAUUUUUUCAUAACAUUUCUUUUUGACUAGCUGAGAUAAAUUAGUAGUAUUCUCACCAAUCAUCU